UACGAAGGGGGCGAGCGUUGUUCGGAUUUACUGGGCGUAAAGGGCGCGCAGGCGGUCUUGAAAGUCAGGCGUGAAAGCCCCGGGCUUAACCUGGGAAUUGCGCUUGAUACUCUGAGACUGGAGUACGGGAGAGGAGAGUGGAAUUCCCAGUGUAGAGGUGAAAUUCGUAGAUAUUGGGAAGAACACCAGUGGCGAAGGCGGCUCUCUGGACCGUAACUGACGCUGAGACACGAAAGCGUGGGUAGCAAACAGG
Molecule: ribosomal RNA, 253 nt
Filed under: uncultured bacterium
Lineage: Bacteria
Description: partial 16S ribosomal RNA
Rfam family: Bacterial small subunit ribosomal RNA
Source: RNAcentral